Cyprinus carpio (common carp) is the source of this 1275-nucleotide long non-coding RNA. The record is from Ensembl. Lineage: Eukaryota; Metazoa; Chordata; Actinopteri; Cypriniformes; Cyprinidae.
GCAGACGGUUGUAUUAAAACGUAAUGCCUCAAUGUUUCUCAGUUCUGAAAAAUCAGUGAGGUGUAUGAGAAAUAUCAGCCUCUUUCUGGUGUAUGUUUGUGUUUCAGGUGUCUGGGUGCGUCUCUGGCCUUGUGCCCAGAGUACAGCUUGGUUCUGGAGGAUGAACUGGGUGUAACUGUGGGUAUUCUGGAUGUUUGCUCUUUUGCCAAACGAUGUCAGGCCACCUGGCGACCUGCUAUGAAGGACAAAUAUCCUUCACGCCUUCAUGAAACAAGUGGUCAUAGCGCAACAAAGGAGGCGCUGCUAUAUUUCCAUGAAGAACAGGACUAUCCAGACUACCUGCUGUAUCAUUUCUCAUCUCAGCUCAGGCUAGAGGGUCUUCCUGAACUGGUGGACUGUAGUGUCAGUCGUAGCCUCCUCACAGCUCUGCUAAUGUCCCUCAAAGCUAAAGGUUCACAAAUAAAAUGGAUCACAAAUAGAAUUUCUGACAAAGCUGGGAUUUCUGGAGAUCCUCCGUGGAGAAGCAUGGCCUAGAGAGGGUGUAGUUUUGGGGAGGCUGUUAUAAGCAAACAGCCAAAAUACACAGGAUCCAGUGAAAAAAAUAAUAAUCAGAUUUUAGAUGAACAUGUUGCCAUGUUUGAGGCCAGAGCUGGGGUUAUAGUUGUUCUUAGAAAAAUGGCUGGAUUUAGAAAGUGCUUUGGUGCAGUUGUUAAGGUCUAUUCACAAAAAUAACAUAUAAAACGAAGUGCAUUUUGCAUGCCAAAAUCAAAUCCAAGUACAGAUUAAAAAAAUACUGUACUAUGAUGAUCUGCAAUUUUUGAAGGUCUUUUUAAGCAUUUUCAUUUUGGAGAAUAACAAAAGAUUGGCUUUGGACUGAUUUGUUUUAGUGUUAAAAUAUUUUGUUUGUAAAUAUUUUAUUUAUAAUAGCACAAGCCACAGUAAAAAAAUGUACAAACACAUAUUACAAAACAAACAAUGAUGUUGGACAAUAGGAUAGGGCUUCAGUGAAAUGUAGGUGUACUGUUUACUCUGAGUAGUUGUGGGACUAUCAGAGAUUGUCUGUAGGGACUUAAACUGGUCUUUUGGCUUCAAGGUCAAAGCUGAGGUUGUGACAAAACGUUAGGAACAAAAUGAGAACUUGAUAGUGCUCACUUGUUUACAGCAUUAUCUUCAUUAAUCAGCAUUCAGUUUGCUUUCUUACUGCACCAUGCAUUUGGAGCUUUUAUUGGUUCAUAUAAACCUUUGGCUCUGCUUUUGGGGAUAAAAAAAAAUUGC